RNAcentral lists this transfer RNA (73 nucleotides) under Agrilus planipennis (emerald ash borer). It matches the Rfam family "tRNA". Rfam says of the family: Transfer RNA (tRNA) molecules are approximately 80 nucleotides in length. Their secondary structure includes four short double-helical elements and three loops (D, anti-codon, and T loops). Lineage: Eukaryota; Metazoa; Arthropoda; Insecta; Coleoptera; Buprestidae. The record is from Rfam by way of RNAcentral.
CCUCUCGUAGUUGAGUGGUAGAACAUUGAUGCGUAAAGCCAAAGGUCCCCGGGUUCGAUUCCUGGCGGGGGUG